GCUAGACCGGCGCACGGGUGCGUAACACGUAUGCAAUCUGCCUUACACUGGAGGAUAACCCCGAGAAAUCGGGGCUAAUAUUCCAUAACACAACGAAGUGGCAUCACUUUGUUGUUAAAGCUCCGGCGGUGUAAGAUGAGCAUGCGUCCAAUUAGCUAGUUGGUGAGGUAACGGCUCACCAAGGCUACGAUUGGUAGGGGUUCUGAGAGGAUGAUCCCCCACACUGGUACUGAGACACGGACCAGACUCC
This 250-nucleotide ribosomal RNA is filed under the name uncultured bacterium. RNAcentral describes it as "partial 16S ribosomal RNA". It matches the Rfam family "Bacterial small subunit ribosomal RNA", at positions 89 to 339 of the family's 1533-position model. The record is from RNAcentral.